Molecule: ribosomal RNA, 253 nt
Filed under: uncultured bacterium
Lineage: Bacteria
Description: partial 16S ribosomal RNA
Rfam family: Bacterial small subunit ribosomal RNA
Source: RNAcentral
UACGUAGGGGGCAAGCGUUAUCCGGAUUUACUGGGUGUAAAGGGGGCGCGGACGGCGAUGCAAGCCAGGAGUGAAAGCCCGGGGCCCAACCCCGGGACUGCUCUUGGAACUGCGUGGCUGGAGUGCAGGAGGGGUAAGCGGAAUUCCUGGUGUAGCGGUGAAAUGCGCAGAUAUCAGGAAGAACACCGGUGGCGUAGGCGGCUUACUGGACGGCAACUGACGCUGAGGCUCGAAAGCGUGGGGAGCAAACAGG